GUCAAAGUUUGGUGGUGCCAACUUGUGACCGUAGUGUGGGCACGAAGGUGAUGGAACAAGGCUUUUGCUUAAAAGAUUAGGUUGGUUACUCCACCUUGCCGACCUUCCCGCUAUAAGUUAAGAGUUGGGUCAUGGGACUCGAGCGAAGGCAUGGGUGUUAUGGCGCUUAGACGUGAAGGUAUAGCGCAAGGCUAGUUUCAUAGAGCAACAAACACAUCCUACUUUUGACAGUGGAGGGAUCACAAGCUUUUGCACCUCUUGUCCACAACAAUUGGUGAGCUUAACUGUUAAACCAUCGCUUUU
RNAcentral lists this signal recognition particle RNA (303 nucleotides) under Cicer arietinum (chickpea). RNAcentral describes it as "Plant signal recognition particle RNA". It matches the Rfam family "Plant signal recognition particle RNA". The record is from Rfam by way of RNAcentral. Lineage: Eukaryota; Viridiplantae; Streptophyta; Magnoliopsida; Fabales; Fabaceae.